GGUUAAGCGACUAAGCGUACACGGUGGAUGCCCUGGCAGUCAGAGGCGAUGAAGGGCGUGCUAAUCUGCGAUAAGCGCCGGUAAGGUGAUAUGAACCGUUAUAACCGGCGAUACCCGAAUGGGGAAACCCAGUGYRAYUCGUYRCACUAUCRUUAACUGAAUCCAUAGGUUAAYGAGGCGAACCGGGGGAACUGAAACAUCUAAGUACCCCGAGGAAAAGAAAUCAACCGAGAUUCCCCCAGUAGCGGCGAGCGAACGGGGAGGAGCCCAGAGCCUGAAUCAGCAUGUGUGUUAGUGGAAGCGUCUGGAAAGGCGCGCGAUACAGGGUGACAGCCCCGUACACAAAAGCGCAUGUGCUGUGAGCUCGAUGAGUAGGGCGGGACACGUGGUAUCCUGUCUGAAUAUGGGGGGACCAUCCUCCAAGGCUAAAUACUCCUGACUGACCGAUAGUGAACCAGUACCGUGAGGGAAAGGCGAAAAGAACCCCGGCGAGGGGAGUGAAAAAGAACCUGAAACCGUGUACGUACAAGCAGUGGGAGCAC
This 542-nucleotide ribosomal RNA is filed under the name Salmonella enterica. Its description in RNAcentral is "partial 23S ribosomal RNA". Lineage: Bacteria; Pseudomonadati; Pseudomonadota; Gammaproteobacteria; Enterobacterales; Enterobacteriaceae. The record is from RNAcentral.